CUGCGUGUUCGAUGAUUGAGAAGAUUGGCUGAACCAAAAAAAGAAGAAGACAAAUGUAAAGAAAGAUGCCCAAUAUCCGGGAGUUGAGGAAGAAAGGGUCUAAAAAGGUCAAAUGGACGCUGGACGCCAUGGUUCGUGCCGUCCAGGAGGUGAAGGAAGGCAGGCAAACCGCAAGAAAGGCCGCCAGGAAGUUUGGCGUCCCAAAGUCCAGCCUGGCGGACCGACUCUCUGGACGCGUAGCCGUCGACUGCGUGCACGGCCAAAAACCGCUUCUCACCUCUGAGGACGAGAGUUCACUGUUGGAGUAUUGUUUGUACUCUGCCAGUCAGGGAUGUCCUCAGAGAAAGCAUCAGGUCAUAACCAACGCUCUGGCAAUUUAUAAUUAUCGUAAUCCGCACCAACCCAGGACCGUUCUAGGCCAAACCUGGUGGAUUAACUUUAUGGAGCGGCACCGGCAUCGCAUUACCUCCCAGAAUAUGCGCUCCUACCUUUUGGAAUCUCAUACGAAAUCACACUCAAAAAGGGGUUCGGUCAAGUUCCAACCGCCCGAGAGUCUGCCUCCCUCCUCCGAUCCCUACCUGGCCCAUCCCCUGGUAGCGUCGGGCCUCGUGACAGCGGAACUGGCCCGCGUCUUGUCCAAAACCAACGAAACCUGCGACGCCCAAAGUGACAGGAGAAGCUUCCAGGUGCUGACAGCGAGGGAGAUGUCAGAUGUCCUGCAGAAGGUGGAGGACAGCGCCGCAAGAGCGGAGGCCAGAAGUGCGACGCGACGGGGAGCGGAAGACACGGACCUGGCGGUCUCCUCCUCCACCUUUCCCGGGGGCUCUUGUCUCGGCGGCAAAAGACCACGGCCCCGCAAGGUCCGUUCAGAUGCUACAAGUCCUGGUGCCGCGGGUCCUCCAGGCCCGUGUGAUCCCACUUCUGCAUCCCAACGCGCCUCAACCAACAUGAGCUUGUCUUCCAAUAAAAUUGACGACGCUUCCAACCUUUGGGGGACCUCCUUCAUGGCUGUAGCUCCCUCGUCUCCUGCCUCCCUUUCCUCAACUGCUGAACCUACAACCUCCACCGUAGCCUACCAAGCUGCUAAGAAGGAACGGUUGGAAAAGAAGCUGUUGCGAUGUGGACGGUGCAGACAGCCUUACCCUCCAAAGGAUCCAGAAGGAACAGCGCGCAGCGGGGUGGACCCUCCUCAUCCAGUGCAUCCAGUGGAAGUCGGAAAAAAAGUAUUUAUUCAUCUGGUUCCCGGUAGCAGCCAUAGCUCCAGGUGUCGACGGACGCUGAAGUCGCGGCCCCUUCGUGGACUGAACACCUCCAGUUAUCAGCAAAGACGAAGCUCCACAACCGCCGCGCGUGCGGUGUGCACACUGCACGCUGCACGCUGCACGCAGGAGUCCGCUGCAAGACAGAGCUCGGUCCUCAGUAUCAGCCUUUCCGUCGAGACUGAGACAUCGUCACCCUUGGGUGUUUCUGCUAAUCGCCUCUCAGCCUGAUAAAGAACAAGACUUGGCUAAAGAGGUACAGAGCUGCCUCUCAGGGGAAAUAGAUCCCAUCAUUUUCUCACACACAGAAAACGGCCCUCUUUUCAAGUCUUGUGAAUGUUGUACAAAAAAAAGAGCAUCUUCAUCCACUCUAAAUGCUGCUUGUUUCUAAAUGGGAAUACGACAAUUUCCAGUGCAAAUUCAAAACAAAACUUUAAAAAAUAAACUACCAAACUCACAUUUAGGAAUUGACUCAACAAAUACCUGCAGAUGAUCUUUGCAGUCUGGUAUCGUAGGAGGGAAGGACAGCGUGUCAACGGCCUUGCAAAGUAUCAAUUAAUGUCUUUAACAGACUGUAACGGCUCAGAUAUUUCAUACAGUGAAACCUCCCACAUGUGGUCUGUGCUUACGGUUCAAAGUUCCUCCUCCCGGACCCCCCUAAAGGGAGUCUGUGAACAUGUAUCAUUCAUGUCUGGUUGUACUUUCCAAUUGCCAGCUAGAGGUAAACAGAAAGAUUCCACCGCCAUUGCAAGUGAAAGGACACAUAGCAUAGAGAAGAUGA
Molecule: long non-coding RNA, 2040 nt
Organism: Gasterosteus aculeatus (three-spined stickleback)
Lineage: Eukaryota; Metazoa; Chordata; Actinopteri; Perciformes; Gasterosteidae
Source: Ensembl